GGGGAAAGCUACUUAUUGUUAGAGCUUGUAGUUCUGCUAUCGUGGAUAUGGAAACGUCCAGACAUGAAACUUUGAGGAAAGUGACCUUAGAUGAAAUUCAUUGCUUCAAAAAGAGAAAUUCUUGAGCAAUCGAUCCCAAGAUAGAUGUCGUCUGAGAUCAUCAAUUGGUUCAUUGAUCCAGACACACCAAGGCCUCAGAUCAAGAGCUGUAACAAGAAAAGUGCUUACCCCAUGGUGCUUCCGUCGGAAUAUAUUUACAAAAUUAACUUUGAAAAAAAAAUUGGAGUUGAUUAGUUACAUUAGACACUCUGUCAACAAAUCCAGCUCGUCCUAAUCAGUCAUAAUUAACACUGAUGUCUGAUGAGAGGUACAAGUAAGAGCAGGCGGUGACGGCUGAGGUGCCCCUCUAGGGGCCUGCCGAGAGCCUCUCGUUAUCUUCCACUUGAAGAAGCCGCACGUUGGCUGCUUUGGUCGUUUUGGCAGAAGAGACAGACGCCCGGGCCUCUAGUGGCUGUAAGGGCCUGGCACACGGGGGCGUGUAGCGUGUAGAGACAAGUGGCUUCCAGUGUUCUCGACGAACGGAGUGUGAACAUCAAACGCCAACUAACCCAUGCUUUCCAUUACAGCUCUCGAGCUCAAGAUUGUUGGAGACCACCUCCCAGAGCAACCCUCCAGGUCACGGGGGGCCAUCCGCAUGCACCAGGGCCCCUACUUCCCUCUCACUCCUUUCCCGCUGCCUUUUAUAGAACUCCGAUUCCCCAAAGCUUUACAAACCAGAGAAUUUUUUUUUUUACCACCGAAUUCCUUGUAGCUCUGCUAGACACAAAGGAGAGAAACAGGACCUAGUCUCCGUGACUUCAUCAGGGCUUAGGAUUUUCCUUCCACCCCUUCC
Canis lupus familiaris (dog) is the source of this 892-nucleotide long non-coding RNA. RefSeq lists it as uncharacterized. The transcript has 3 exons. Lineage: Eukaryota; Metazoa; Chordata; Mammalia; Carnivora; Canidae. The record is from RefSeq and is a predicted model, not a curated record.